RNAcentral lists this long non-coding RNA (222 nucleotides) under Lathyrus oleraceus (garden pea). Its description in RNAcentral is "Pisum sativum (pea) long non-coding RNA (PSAT_LNC038645)". Lineage: Eukaryota; Viridiplantae; Streptophyta; Magnoliopsida; Fabales; Fabaceae. The record is from RNAcentral.
GAAGCACUAUCCGCCAUAUAUGAAUCUCAUUUAACUCUGUCAUCAACUAUUCUAGUUCAUGAACGGAACAAUGGUGAUGUUUGUAGGAGUCGAAUAUCUAACUCCCGCGGAAAUCCACGAGAAACCACAAUCUUUUCACCGCAAUUCGACAAACAUUUGAUCUUUGUCUCGUUCGAAUCACCGAUCAAUCUCGUGAAACAAUGGCAACAUUGAAAACUACCU